GAUGAACGCUGGCGGCGUGCUUAACACAUGCAAGUCGAACGGCAAGGCCCAAGCUUGUUUGGGCACUCUAGUGGCGAACGGGUGAGUAACACGUGGGUCAUCUGCCCUGCACUUCGGGAGAAGACCGGGAAACUGGGUCUAAUAAUGGCUAGGACCACCUACUGGUUGGAGCGGUGGAUAGUCGUUCGGUGUGGGGUGAGCUGGGGGGUUAUCAGCUUGUUGGUGGGGUAAUGGCAUACCACGGCGUAGGAGGGUAGCCGGCCUGAGAGGGGGGACAGCCACAUUGGGACUGAGAGACGGACCAGACGGCUACGGGGGGCAGCGGUGGGAAAUAUGACACAGUGGGGGCAAGCCUGAGGCAGCGGCGCCGGGUGGGGGAAGACGGCCUGCGGGUUGUGAACAGCUUUCGCUUGAGACGAAGCGGUAGUGACGGUACCUAGAGAAGAAGCACCGGCUAACUACGUG
This 465-nucleotide ribosomal RNA is filed under the name uncultured bacterium. RNAcentral's name for it is "partial 16S ribosomal RNA". It matches the Rfam family "Bacterial small subunit ribosomal RNA", at positions 28 to 507 of the family's 1533-position model. The record is from RNAcentral.